RNAcentral lists this ribosomal RNA (499 nucleotides) under uncultured bacterium. RNAcentral describes it as "partial 16S ribosomal RNA". It matches the Rfam family "Bacterial small subunit ribosomal RNA", at positions 899 to 1397 of the family's 1533-position model. The record is from RNAcentral.
ACUCAAAUGAAUUGACGGGGACCCGCACAAGCGGUGGAUGAUGUGGAUUAAUUCGAUGCAACGCGAAGAACCUUACCUACCCUUGACAUGUACGGAAGCUGGGUGAGAGCUCAGUGUGCCCGAAAGGGAGCCGUAACACAGGUGCUGCAUGGCUGUCGUCAGCUCGUGUCGUGAGAUGUUGGGUUAAGUCCCGCAACGAGCGCAACCCUUGUCACUAGUUGCCACUUUAACCGGGGCACUCUAGUGAGACUGCCGGUGACAAACCGGAGGAAGGUGGGGAUGACGUCAAGUCCUCAUGGCCCUUAUGGGUAGGGCUUCACACGUCAUACAAUGGCGCAUACAGAGGGUAGCCAACCCGCGAGGGGGAGCCAAUCUCAGAAAGUGCGUCGUAGUCCGGAUUGCAGUCUGCAACUCGACUGCAUGAAGUCGGAAUCGCUAGUAAUCGCGGAUCAGCAAUGUCGCGGUGAAUACGUUCCCGGGUCUUGCACACACCGCCCGU